GACGAACGCUGGCGGCGUGCUUAACACAUGCAAGUCGAACGGAAAGGCCCUUCGGGGUACUCGAGUGGCGAACGGGUGAGUAACACGUGGGUGAUCUGCCCUGCACUUUGGGAUAAGCCUGGGAAACUGGGUCUAAUACCGAAUAGGACCACGCGCUUCAUGGUGUGUGGUGGAAAGCUUUUGCGGUGUGGGAUGGGCCCGCGGCCUAUCAGCUUGUUGGUGGGGUAAUGGCAUACCAAGGCGACGACGGGUAGCCGGCCUGAGAGGGUGACCGGCCACACUGGGACUGAGAUACGGCCCAGACUCCUACGGGAGGCAGCAGUGGGGAAUAUUGCACAAUGGGCGCAAGCCUGAUGCAGCGACGCCGCGUGAGGGAUGACGGCCUUCGGGUUGUAAACCUCUUUCACCAGGGACGAAGCGUAAGUGACGGUACCUGGAGAAGAAGCACCGGCCAACUACGUG
This 462-nucleotide ribosomal RNA is filed under the name uncultured bacterium. RNAcentral's name for it is "partial 16S ribosomal RNA". It matches the Rfam family "Bacterial small subunit ribosomal RNA", at positions 28 to 507 of the family's 1533-position model. The record is from RNAcentral.